Molecule: non-coding RNA, 282 nt
Organism: Cinara cedri
Lineage: Eukaryota; Metazoa; Arthropoda; Insecta; Hemiptera; Aphididae
Source: the annotation of a GenBank genome assembly
UUUAUAAUCAAUAGGAAUAUCGACAGGAACGAUAUAUAACGAUUAGUAUAUUGUAUAAAUCAAUUGAACAGGUUUUCAAUUCAGAUACAUAUAAAUAAAAUAACAAUGCAUAUUUUUUCCCCUUGAUUUGUAUUUUGGUAGUACUUUGCUACAAUUUUCGUAUGUUCCGAUAACCGAUUUACAAAAAUACUCACAAAUUAUGGUUUUUAACUUACUAAAACUCGGUCCAGUGCGAUUUGGUCGAUACGAGGGUCAACAUUGCAUGCGAGUGGUUAUGUAGCG